AGGCAAUCCUGUCAGCCUCCCAAGUAGCUGGGAAUACAGCUUUAUAACUGAUAUGGAUGGAGGCUAAAUUGACAUAUUGAAAAUGCGAAUCACUUCGCAGAUGGAGGAUGUCUUCUCAUUUGACCUCUUGUCUCACAUUUCUGAUAUGAGCAACAUUUUGAGAUGAAAUGCCAAAUUAUUGGCCCAGAGUCAGUGCCCCUUGGCCAAGCGGCCCUAAGCCAGCCUGAUCCAGCCUCGCCUCGCCUACUCUCUGCAAGAGACUCCCGGGUACAGGAUGAUUGAGGUGGCCCCAGCCUCCCCACCAGGUGCUGACUUGCGCUUGGAAAUUCAAUCCUCU
Cebus imitator (Panamanian white-faced capuchin) is the source of this 337-nucleotide long non-coding RNA. RefSeq lists it as uncharacterized. The transcript has 3 exons. NCBI's taxonomy places the organism in Eukaryota, Metazoa, Chordata, Mammalia, Primates, Cebidae. The record is from RefSeq and is a predicted model, not a curated record.